UAGCAAGAAUGGGCACCGGUGUGUCUACU
This 29-nucleotide non-coding RNA is filed under the name Rattus norvegicus (Norway rat). The record is from RNAcentral. Lineage: Eukaryota; Metazoa; Chordata; Mammalia; Rodentia; Muridae.